Coturnix japonica (Japanese quail) is the source of this 231-nucleotide non-coding RNA. The record is from RefSeq and is a predicted model, not a curated record. NCBI's taxonomy places the organism in Eukaryota, Metazoa, Chordata, Aves, Galliformes, Phasianidae.
GGAGGGCAUUGUGCUCAGUCUGGAGAGUGUUGAGCUCGGUCCAGAGGGCGUUGUGCUCAGUCUGAAGAGCGUUAUGCUCGGACCGGAGGGCAUUAUGCUCGGACUGAAGAGUGCUGUGCUCGGUCUGGAGGGCAUUGUGCUCAGUCUGGAGAGUGUUGUGCUCGGUCCGGAGGGCAUCGCAGUUGGGUUGGAAGGCAUCGUGCUUGGCCUGGAGGGUGCCGCACUCAGACU